Long non-coding RNA from Aethalodelphis obliquidens (Pacific white-sided dolphin), 1233 nucleotides. RefSeq lists it as uncharacterized. The record is from RefSeq and is a predicted model, not a curated record. Lineage: Eukaryota; Metazoa; Chordata; Mammalia; Artiodactyla; Delphinidae. The transcript is spliced from 4 exons.
GCAGGCGGACUCCCAACCACUACACCACCAGGGAAGCCCCCCCGUCCUCUUUUUAUUGUUAACUUUUGAUGGAUGUUCAUACAUACAGAUAGGAAAGUACACAGGUUGUAGUUAUACAGCUUGAUGAAUUUUUACAAAUACAUUGAUCAAAGAUGUAUGCAUUUAUCAUAAAAAUUAUGUUGUAUUUUAUAUUUAAAAAACUUUCCUUAGGUAAGAAGUGGAUUUAUUUAGAGAGAUACACAUUCCAUAGACAGAAUUCAGUCCAUCUCAAAAGGCGAGAACAGCCUUGGGAAAAACACACUCCACAGACAGAGUUUGGGUCAUCUCAGAAGGUGAGAGGCCAAAAAUUAUUUUUUAAAAGGGAGUAACAAUAAAAAGAGAAGAAUAUUGAACACAAAAUUUAUUUAUUUAAUUAUUGGCCACGCUGCAGCUUGUGGGAAUUAGUUUCCUGAUCAGGGAUCAGACCCAGGGCCCCAGCAGCGGAAACGCACAGUCCUAACCACUGGACUGCCAGAGAAUUCCCUGAAUACAAAAUUUAGAAUAGUGGUUUCCUCUGGUGGGGACUCAGGGGAUGGGACAGAGAAGGACACAUUAUCAGUAAUGUUCUAAUUCCUAAAUUGAGCAGCAAGUUCACAGUUUAUUAUGCUUCUUGAUAUAUGUUUUCUUUUGUACAUCCUAAAAUCAACUCAAAGUCCUGCAGUCUGGGGGCAUUCUGCUUGAAGACAAAUGAACGCUGCAUAAUUCAAAGGCUCCUGGGAGCAUUCCUGUAAUUGAUCAUCUUGACUCAUCUGAAAACAAAACAAGUCUCUAUGAAGAAAGGAAAAAGGAAAGCAUAUGAAACAUUGUAAGACAAUUCAAUACUAUAUCUGAUGGAGGUAAGUGUGGAGAUGAAAACCAGGUGUGUGAUGUGACAGAGAACGGCCAUUCAGGGGGAGGCACCAAACAUUCUCUACUGUGGCUGAUAUUCCCAGGCAGGAGUGAAAGAAGAUAUCCAUCAGACAACUAUGAACUUCUGUCCCAUUACCUGGCCGCGCAGCCUGUGGCCUCUUGUGCUCACGGCGACCACGAAGGGAUCCGGAGUGGACUUCUCUCCUUCACCUGAACUCUACGAGGAACUGGAGCCUUGGUACCAGCAGAGGCCCCUGGCACUCGUCUGCCUCCUUGGAGAGUCCAGAUGAAUUUGGGGGACAUGGAUUCAAGCCCUGGUCCGGGAAGAUCCCACAUGCCGCGGAG